Zeugodacus cucurbitae (melon fly) is the source of this 2421-nucleotide long non-coding RNA. RefSeq lists it as uncharacterized. The record is from RefSeq and is a predicted model, not a curated record. Lineage: Eukaryota; Metazoa; Arthropoda; Insecta; Diptera; Tephritidae. The transcript is spliced from 2 exons.
AAAAUUAUGCUGAUAAAAAUGUAGUAAAUUUUUUUUCUUAAGUGAAUAAAUUAAUGAUUUUAAAUACUUAUGAAUAUUUAUAAGCGCGCACAGUGGGUCUGAAAAGGUUUCGUAAGCGUAAUUUUUGCAGUGUAAAGCAAUGAAAGGAGCUUAAGGAAAGGAAAGGAAUCCCUUUGGUAUACAUUCCUUAAGAAUUUCCAAGUUAUAUUUAGAUUAUAUUCGUAAAACGAUCAUUAUAAGGGCUUAUAAAUGAUCUCUGGAACUUGUCACUUUUUAUUUAGUAAAGUGGUUUUUGAAAAGCGCAAAGCAUAUGUCUUUAGAGCCGUCCACAUGAGCGAGGAGUACCGAAGACGAUGGAACCAUGAACUGUAUGAGUUAUACGGCCUCUUGAAUAUAGUUAAACGCAUAAAAAUCCAACGAAUACGCUGGUUGGGAAGACGAUGCUCUAGUGAAAAGCUCCUUUGAGACGAGAUCCAUUGAUGGAAAACUUAAGCAAGGGCGCCCACGCAUCCAAUAGAAAGAUCGAGUGCAUGGUGACCUGUCAUUACUUGGGAUGUACAACUGGCGUGAUUUCGCAGAGGAUAGAAGCAAAUAGUGAAGUUUUGUAUUCUUGGACCAGACCCACCAAUUGUUGUAGUGCCAAAAAAGAAGCAGAAAUGUAUGGAAAACUUCGAGAUUGUUGUAGUCAAUGUCCAAUAAACACGUUUCCUUCGUUCUUUCCUUUCGGUUGCAAUACUAAUGAUCCAAGUUUAGUAAAUUUUGUGGAAUUAUAGACCUACUAUAGCACAGAAAUGUUGCAAAAAUUAAAUUUUACGUUGAAAUAAUAUUCCGAUCUAACCGAUUAAUUUCUUAUAAUGGAUCGUUGUUUCUCAUAAAAAAAAAUUAUUUGAGAGGUUUUCGUAUCCAAAAGGUUUAGUAUAAUUAUUUGAAUUCGGGAACAUUUCUAAGUUUUGAGUUUUGAAUCAUUUCAACCUGAAUGUUCGUCUUAUAGCGUUUCACUUUAUGCCCUUCUUUAUGGGGUGGAUCAUUGUCCUCUUAAAAUUGUUUUUAUGUGACCCUUUUAGACUAUACUUGCUACUAUAUUCAAGGUUUUGGGAAACGAUUGAUUUCUAAUUAUCACAGACGGAGAUACCGUUUUCUAAAGUUGUUGUUGUUCUUGAAACAUAAAAUGUAUAUUCAGAAACAUGCUCAAAUAAUCCGGGUUCUUGAAACAUUGAGAGACACCAAUCUCCAGGCGACAUAUGAUCUAACAACAGCACUUACUUCAAACUACAUAUUUCUUUGAUGGGUUUUUGUCAUUCUUUCACCGCACACUGUGCCUUUCCUUCCAUUAUUUCCGCAUUGACCCGACAGUGUUGACGUAAUUGCACUAGAGUUCCUUGCUGCCGUUGGAUUUCCCGGCAGGGUUUUGGAAUGUAAUAUUUUAUGCAGAUUAUUGCUAUUGCUUUUUCUGCGCAGGAACACAUUGAUAAACCGGCUCGCGUGUCCUUUAAGGUGUGGUUUGGGUUUGGUGAACGUCAACGACUGGUCAAAGUCUUACAAUUGUAUUGUUUGGCGACGCACGCCGUGAGACCUCGGCAACACCUUUAGCGGCCAAAACGUUCCCACAACUAUCGCAUAUACACUUAGGUGCGGUUUUACUUUACUACAUACUAGAUGAGUUUAUUGACUUGCGGGCACGCACCGGCAGAGUAACAUACAAAUUUAUAUAUCACUACGGGUAUUUAUGUAAAUGCAAUGCGCUCGCCGGCAUUACGACUACACACAGGACGUGACCGCAUUCGUUGGGAUUGCCUGCGCUCGACUACUUUGUUUUCAUAACACUGAUAACUUCGCGGUUUUCGUGCUUUGUUGUGACGCUGCCGUUAAACGCUAAACACAAUACUAAUUUGCAAUAAGAAAAAAAAUUAUAAGCAAAACAGGCGCCUUCUCACGCCACAUGCAACCCACGUACGAAGGCAGGUAAUGUGUGUGUGUAUUUAUGUGCGCUUGCUUGUUGAAAGCGGUUACGUGUCCUCCAGCCGGUAUUCGAAGGUGUUUUUGAGGAGGUGUGAUGGCAUUCCAACAACUUUCGAAAGUGCUCGCAAACCCACAACAACACCAAUAAUCAACGGCAAAAUUAUAACAAUUGCAGAUGAUUUCAACAAACAAGCGAAGCCCUCUGCUUAAGCAUUUCGAAAAUUAUAAUAAUAACGCGCAACAACAACAACAAAAACAAAAUAAAGAUUGCGAUUUUUUUUUUUUUUCAAAAAUAUUAAUAACAUAACUCACCAGCUGUAUGACCGCUGUUGUCUGUUUUGUCUUCUUCGUGCCUUUCAAAUAUUUCGCCGUUCCUUUGCCGCGCUUCAAGUUCUUUUUUUAUAUUUUUUUAUUUCUUAUUUAUUGUCUCGAGUAUUAAUAUUGUUGGUUUGAAACUAGCCA